CAACCUUCAAUCUUGAAUGCCUGCCUGGGAUUUGUAGUGGGCCUUUCUAAAUCCAAGGUGGGAGGGUUGGCUCGAUGAGGAGAAAUGUGCAUAGAAACCCGAGAUGUAGUUAUACCUCGAAGGGAUGAAGAUGCAGAUGAAGGAGGAAGUGGUUCCUCUGAAGCAACUGACUUUUGGGGGGGGGGAUGACCUGGGCUCCCGAGGAGGAAGCCCCCUCUUGGGGCUGAUCCCUGAAUCGAUGCCUGAGGAGAGCUAGCAGCUAGCUAGACGAGGUCGACCUUAGCUUGACCUCUUUUGGGGAUA
Molecule: long non-coding RNA, 303 nt
Filed under: Elaeis guineensis (African oil palm)
Lineage: Eukaryota; Viridiplantae; Streptophyta; Magnoliopsida; Arecales; Arecaceae
Description: long non-coding RNA (EGUI_LNC057442)
Source: RNAcentral